AAACAUAAAGAUAGAGUUUUUUAGUGACUAAAUAAAUAAAAAAAUAUAAAUAGAAAAAAAAUUUGGAAAUUUGCUAUAGAAACUUAAUCAGAUAUAAGCAUGGGUGACUAGCUCGCUUUAGUUUAUGGAUAGACCAUACAUAUUUUGGGUUAAUUCCCAUCUAAAUGACUUCCUAAGGUCGUCAAGCCUAGGGUUUAAAUUCUUCCUUUCCCAAAUAGCUGAUCCGCUAAAAAAACCCUACACAGCAAUCAAUUAAUCAUACCUCCACUCGGUAAUCCCCCACAAGAGAAUUAGUUCCUAAUGGAUCGAAAAUACAUAAUAAACUUGAUAUAAAAGAUGAACAUAAAUAGUAAAUCAAGAUACGAAGGUUUAAGACAAGUCUGGAUUGUAUUUAAUUGAAGUACGAAAUCCACAAAGAGUUGAUUGAGUUCCACAAGUCUGAUCUCACAAAAAAUGCAAAAUUGAAAAUAACCUAAAGCCAAAAAAAGGGAAAUACUAAAAACUGAAACUAUAAAGAAAAUUCUACAGUAUGAAAAGUUAUCCCUAAUAAGUGUUAAAUGAACAUAUUUAUAGAGUUAAAGUUGCCAUCAUCCUCAACCCUAGGUCAACUAACGCUCUCGUGUUUAAUAUUUGAUUGUGCAGACCAAAAAACCCUUGACUCAUAAGUAUUUCUUGUACAGGACUGAUGUCGCGACAACCUAGUGCUUGUGUUGCAACAUCAAAGGCAAUAUGCUCAUACUCAAUGUAGCUUUAGGGGUGUGUCGUAACACCAAAGGUAGUCUUGGAAUUCUUGGUCUCUACUCCCUACAUUGUGAAAUCAAACUCCCCAUGUUGCAACAUAGUGACUAGUAUUGGGUUCGUAUGCCCUCUAAUGGUCUGCUGGACACUUACAAAGUAUAUUAACUCACCCUUAGGCCUCAUUCGAGCCAUAAGGUCAAUAAAGGACUCAAAUUACAUUUUUUAUUGAAUGUAAACAAAACUAAAAAAACUUAAUUAAAACAUAAC
Molecule: long non-coding RNA, 1005 nt
Filed under: Gossypium barbadense (sea-island cotton)
Lineage: Eukaryota; Viridiplantae; Streptophyta; Magnoliopsida; Malvales; Malvaceae
Description: long non-coding RNA (GBAR_LNC014755)
Source: RNAcentral